ACAAGACUCUCCUUCCCUCCCCACCGCUUCUGGGGCACUUAAAAGUGGGUGGAAUUCUUUCUUGCUGACAGUAGGAAGAGGAAAUGGUUUUCAUUCCACCAUUAUGCAAUCAUCCCUCCAGAGGAGGCAGCUACCAAGUCGGAGGAAUGCUUACCCAAGGUAAGCAGGACGGCUGUGAUGUCCCUGUAAGGAGGCCUCAUGCACACAGAGCAGCUAAUGUUUCCAUGGCAAGCACACAGAGACAAGUGUGUUCCUGAACUUCUCACACAGCCAAUUUGUAUCACCUGAAGUCAAUCCAUGCGAGCUCUGGUUUAAAGCCUAGACAGCUGAAAAACAUGUGUCUUCGACAGAUAAACACUUUCUGUUUUGCCACACAAAUCAUUUGUAUUUUGAUGAUGUCAGCACAAGGCCUAUAUAUAAAAAAA
Pelobates cultripes (western spadefoot toad) is the source of this 425-nucleotide non-coding RNA. The record is from the annotation of a GenBank genome assembly. NCBI's taxonomy places the organism in Eukaryota, Metazoa, Chordata, Amphibia, Anura, Pelobatidae.